This 247-nucleotide ribosomal RNA is filed under the name uncultured archaeon. RNAcentral's name for it is "partial 16S ribosomal RNA". It matches the Rfam family "Archaeal small subunit ribosomal RNA", at positions 691 to 937 of the family's 1478-position model. The record is from RNAcentral.
CCGACGGUGAGGGGUGAAAGCUGGGGGAGCAAACCGGAUUAGAUACCCGGGUAGUCCCAGCCGUAAACGAUGUGCGUUAGGUGUAUCGGUGACCACGAGUCACCGAGGUGCCGAAGAGAAAUCGUGAAACGUACCGCCUGGGAAGUACGGUCGCAAGGCUGAAACUUAAAGGAAUUGGCGGAGGAGCACCACAACAGGUGGAGCCUGCGGUUUAAUCGGACUCAACGCCGGAAAACUCACCAGAUAA